Long non-coding RNA from Drosophila nasuta, 1746 nucleotides. RefSeq lists it as uncharacterized. The transcript is spliced from 3 exons. The record is from RefSeq and is a predicted model, not a curated record. NCBI's taxonomy places the organism in Eukaryota, Metazoa, Arthropoda, Insecta, Diptera, Drosophilidae.
UUUUCUAUUUUCUCUCUCUAUUUUAGUUUUAUAUUUUUUCUUCCAAGCCAAACUUUUGCUGUGACCGUAUUGUACACAAUUUUCAAGUGAAAAUAGUUUCUAAAGUAAUCAAAAAAAAAAGGAAAAAUAUUGAAGCAGCUUGGGGAAUUGCUGGUCGAAUUGAGGAGCAAGAGUUUAAGUAAAUUAUUUUUCAGCGAGUAACCUCGAAGUUUUAUUCGCUUACUCGCAUUAUGGAGCAAGAAACUUUUUCCGAGGCCUCGAACACUUGAAAUGUUCAUUGUUAUUGUUGCCCGUUACCUGUAAAGUUGUUCUCGGCAUUGUGUGUGUGUGUGUUUGAGAGAGUCAGCACACAAUCCAAGCCGACAACGUGGCGUAUGCGUAAUUUGUGAGGCAGCACAUCAAAUAAAUUGCAGUGCAAUAAAGCACAACAGAGAGGUAGCACAAAAAAGAAAGGAGAAAAGAAACGCAAGAGAAUGGAUGAAAAGGACUUGGCAUAAUGCCACACACACUCACACACACCCACACACACAUACACUCGCACAUUUUGCUAGGUAGAAGAGCAGCAAUAAGUGCAAACAUUUCACUUUCCAGUUGGGCUUUUUCUUCAUUCUUUCGGCUCGUUGAAGGCUGACACAAUUAAAGCGAGCACUCAGUGCUAUAUGCAUUGUGUGGGCGUGGCACACUCUUUCUCUCUUGGGGCACUCAACUAGCAUAAUUCUCACACUUUCGCAAUUACAACACAACAAAAAAAAAGAUAAGAAAGAACUCACCAUCGAUGUUAAAAUAAAGCACAAAGUCUCAAGUGAAGUCAAGUCAACAUUUACAUACCUGCAAAGAGCCAAAAAGCAUACAGAAAGUGAUUAAAAAACAUGGAUCAAGCACAGACCAAGCAAAAAAAAAAUGCUAAGAGCUACUUCAAAGUGCUUAAAAAUAAGCUGGGAGGAAAAAAAGCGAAAAAAAUGAAGGAAAACGAAACGUGAAAAAAAGGAAAGCAAAUCACAAACAAAUUGCCCAAAUGUCCAGUCUACUGGAUACUGGGAGCUGGGCUCAAGAAAUUAAAUUCCAGCGCUCAACAUCAUUUCCACGAAAUUAAAAAAUUUACGCGCAGACAAUUAAUCAUUGGGGAGGGCGAGCGCAUUCAAGGGGAAAUCUACACCGAUGAGCAGAACAAAUGAGCAGAGCUAAGAGAACGAGAGCGAGCGAGAGGGAGAGCGAAAAAAAUUCCUAGGAAAAUGCACAAGAUUUUCUUGUAUUUUCUUUCUUGAAGCGCAAACAAGAGCAGCAUCAAAUGCGGCACGUAGCAAACGCUAAUCAAAUAAAAACAUUAGUUUCAGAUAUCAAUCGAUGCAGCGAAGACCCCACUGCAAGAUCGUCACAAGUUGCAGUUGAAUGAAUGAAUGAACGAAUUCAGCAUAAAUGCCAUAAAGAAGUCAGCACUGAAAUCUGUCAUUACAUUUAGUUUUUUACAACUUCUGGAAAAUCCCGCACUCCUUUUUGUUCUCUUCGUUUUUGUUUUAUAGCCUGUCUAGCAGCAUUUACCAACUUCAGUUAUAGUUUGAAGCUGUAGUUGGAGUCUGAGUUGGAGUCGGAGUCGCAUAAUGCAAUUAAAAUGAGAAAUGCUGAGCGCUCGUAAAAAGCCAAGAAGAAGAAAAUAACUGAGCUGCGGCAAGCAAACAGCAUUGAAACAAAUUUGCAUUCAGUUGUGAAACAUUCUAUAAAAAAUAAUAAAUUUAAUGUUCGACAAUA